Molecule: long non-coding RNA, 1149 nt
Filed under: Marmota monax (woodchuck)
Lineage: Eukaryota; Metazoa; Chordata; Mammalia; Rodentia; Sciuridae
Source: RNAcentral
UUUAAUACCAUAUUUAUUGGUUUGAAAGUGUAGUUGUUUUAGUAGUGGGUGUCAACUGCAAGAACUUGACACCUCUAUUUAAGAAAUACUGUUUAGAAGAAAUUAAAUUUGACUAAAUGGAACCUUUGGUGCAAAUCACUUCCAAACAAUGAAACCAUAUUCACAAGGAGAUGCUCUGACUUUCUCCACUGAGGAAGAAACGGAGACAUUUUUCGAUUGCCAUUACAUCCCUCCAAAUAGAAAAGGAAGGCUGUGGGCAAGAUAAGAAAAAUAGGUUACAUCUGGGCAGCCCAGCAGUGUUCCCCUGCCUGCUGAAGAAGCUCCUCUUUGUUUCCCUCCUGAAGCACAGCCUUGUUUUCUUGGGUCUGUGCUCUGAGUUAAACCUGGGUUAGACUAUGGAUCCCUUACACUUGAUUUUGUGAUUGGGAGACCUACACAAAUGCAGGCCUAGAACACAAUCGAACCCUUAUCAACUUCCAUCUCCAUGAAUAGGAAAGAAGCCACUUGAUCUUACAGAAGUGUUGCCUGGUCGCUUUCCCUUUUAUAUCUAUUGUUACAUUAUGAGAUGAAAUCACAGAAUCAUCAGUCUGUUGUUUGCUACUUUAGAAUAUGCAUUUAAGAAUUUUACAAAACAAAACUGUGCCUGAAGAAAGACUUCCUUUGGUUCAGCCAUUCCUCUUUUGAGUAUGUGUACACCCAAGAGACUCGAAAGCAGGGUCUGUAGCCUUAUUCCCAAUUCCAAAGGUGGAAGAAACCCAGGUGCACACUGAUGUAUGAGUGGACAAAUAACAUGGUAUAUACACACAAGGAAUUGUUAUUCAGCCUUUAAAAGGAAUGAGAUUCUACCAGACAUACUGGAGCAUGAACGAACCUUAAGAACCUUAUGUUAAGGCAGUUAUUAAACAAACAAACAAACAAAAAAAGAGACAAAUACUUAGGACUCUACUUACAGGAGGGAAUCUAGAAUAAUCAAUCAUAGAGACAGAAAGUAGAAAGGUAGUUACAGGGGGCAGAGGCGAGGAGUGAAUAGGGAGUGAUUGUUGAAUGGAUAUAGAGUUUGACUUUUACAAGGAGAAAAGAGUUUUGAAAACUAUGAGAAGAGAUGGACAGUGGGGAUGAUUGCAUGACAUGAGAACAUACUAAUGCCAC